UUCUUCAAAGAAACCCCCAGCCUGGAACUGGUGCGGCUCUGCAGAGGGAAACGCCGCACUGUACUUCAAAGCGGAGAAAAUGUGCAGCUGCCGGGAGCCCGCCUGCCCCAGGAGGUGUCACUGUUGGGACUGGCAGGGUUUUUUGUUACUGUCUGCAUUGUAGACAGCGCAUUACUGGAGAAGCUGCAUAGACCUGAGGUAUGUUGUUCAGCCAUGCCAAAGACUCCACGGUCUGCACUGAACUACAAAACCAGUCCUGGUGCAGAAGCUAGGAGGUCUUGCUCAUCUUGCACUGACG
Molecule: long non-coding RNA, 298 nt
Organism: Lagopus muta (rock ptarmigan)
Lineage: Eukaryota; Metazoa; Chordata; Aves; Galliformes; Phasianidae
Exons: 3
Source: RefSeq, a predicted model, not a curated record